This 111-nucleotide ribosomal RNA is filed under the name Candidatus Moraniibacteriota bacterium. Lineage: Bacteria; Candidatus Moraniibacteriota. The record is from RNAcentral.
UUCUCCUGAUUUGGCCAAAGGGUCACACCUCUUCCCAUUCCGAACAGAGAAGUUAAGCUUUUGCGCAGCGAUGAUACUGACAUUGUCGGGAAAGUAGCUUGUCGGGAGAAC